RNAcentral lists this ribosomal RNA (705 nucleotides) under Triticum aestivum (bread wheat). RNAcentral describes it as "partial small subunit ribosomal RNA". Lineage: Eukaryota; Viridiplantae; Streptophyta; Magnoliopsida; Poales; Poaceae. The record is from RNAcentral.
AUGAACAUUGCCCUCCUCUCCCGCUGGCUCUGGCGCAUCUCACAAGGGCAUGGCGGUCUGUGGUUAUACAUCAUCCGGAAUAAAUACUUGCAUGGCCAACCUCUGGCCUUCUGCCAACGGUCGGGUGGGUCGCAGUUCUGGCAGUCGGUCAUCCAACUGCUCCCCGUCCUCCGCAUUGGGACUUCCAUCUCGGUCGGAUCGGGAGCAGCGACCUUGUUCUGGUUUGACCGAUGGGCGGGUGACUCCUUCGCGGCCCGCUUUCCCGACCUCUUCUCCAUCGUUGUCGUCCCUACAAUCUCAGUUCAACAGGCCCUUGUUGACUUAGGGCGCCUCGCGUUCCGGAGGCCAUUUGGGCCUCCGGAAGUGGCCGCCUGGCAUGAGCUUCUUGAUUGUAUUGCUCUCCAUGAGCCGACUGUCGAUGCUGGCCCGGAUGAGGUUCGGUGGCGCCUUGAGCCUUCGGGUCAAUUCUCCACCAAGUUCCUUUACGCGGCUAUCGCCCCAUCCUCCACCCCGCCGCCCCUCCAGACGGUUUGGUCCAUUCGCCUGCCCCUUAAAAUCCGGAUCUUCAUGUGGCAAUGGAUCCGCGGUCGGCUCCCGUCUGGAGUUGAGGUCCGCAAGCGCAAUGGCUCGGGCUCUGGCCUCUGCCCCCUUUGUGAUACCCCCGAAGACUCGAACCACAUAUUCUUCUCCUGCGUGUCUGCUUAG